AUUGAACGCUGGCGGCAGGCCUAACACAUGCAAGUCGAACGAGUGGCGGACGGGUGAGUAAUGUCUGGGAAACUGCCCGAUGGAGGGGGAUAACUACUGGAAACGGUAGAUAAUACCGCAUACCAUCGGAUGUGCCAAGAUGGGAUUAGCUAGUAGGUGGGGUAAUGGCUAACCUAGGCGACGAGCCCUAGCUGGUCUGAGAGGAUGACCAUCCAAACUGGAACUGAGACACGGUCCAGACUCCUACGUGAGGCAGCAGUGGGGAAUAUUGCACAAUGGGCGCAAGCCGGAUUCAGCCAUGCCGCGUGUAUGAAGAAGGCCUUCGGGUUGUAAAGUACUUUCAGCGAGGAGGCGUUACUCGCAGAAGAAGCACCGGCUAACUCCGUGCCAGCAGCCGCGGUAAUAC
This 406-nucleotide ribosomal RNA is filed under the name uncultured bacterium. RNAcentral describes it as "partial 16S ribosomal RNA". It matches the Rfam family "Bacterial small subunit ribosomal RNA", at positions 30 to 526 of the family's 1533-position model. The record is from RNAcentral.